ACGAACGCUGGCGGCGUGCCUAAUACAUGCAAGUAGAACGCACAGUUUAUACCGUAGCUUGCUACACCAUAGACUGUGAGUUGCGAACGGGUGAGUAACGCGUAGGUAACCUGCCUGGUAGCGGGGGAUAACUAUUGGAAACGAUAGCUAAUACCGCAUAAUAUUAAUUAUUGCAUGAUAAUUAAUUGAAAGGUGCAAUUGCACCACUACCAGAUGGACCUGCGUUGUAUUAGCUAGUAGGUGAGGUAACGGCUCACCUAGGCGACGAUACAUAGCCGACCUGCGAGGGUGAGCGGCCACACUGGGACUGAGACACGGCCCAGACUCCUACGGGAGGCAGCAGUAGGGAAUCUUCGGCAAGGGACGAAAGUCUGACCGAGCAACGCCGCGUGAGUGAAGAAGGUUUUCGGAUCGUAAAGCUCUGUUGUAAGAGAAGAACGGGUGUGAGAGUGGAAAGUUCACACUGUGACGGUAUCUUACCAGAAAGGGACGGCUAACUACGUA
Molecule: ribosomal RNA, 504 nt
Filed under: uncultured bacterium
Lineage: Bacteria
Description: partial 16S ribosomal RNA
Rfam family: Bacterial small subunit ribosomal RNA
Source: RNAcentral